UAGGGAAUCUUCCACAAUGGGCGCAAGCCUGAUGGAGCAACACCGCGUGAGUGAAGAAGGGUUUCGGAUCGUAAAACUCUGUUGUUAGAGAAGAACACGAGUGAGAGUAACUGUUCAUUCGAUGACGGUAUCUAACCAGCAAGUCACGGCUAACUACGUGCCAA
This 164-nucleotide ribosomal RNA is filed under the name uncultured bacterium. RNAcentral's name for it is "partial 16S rRNA". It matches the Rfam family "Bacterial small subunit ribosomal RNA", at positions 355 to 511 of the family's 1533-position model. The record is from RNAcentral.